GAUGAACGCUAGCUACAGGCUUAACACACGCAAGUCGAGGGGCAGCGCAGUGUAGCAAUACAUGGGCGGCGACCGGCGCACGGGUGCGUAACGCGUAUCCAACCUUCCCGUUACUCAGGGAUAGCCUUCCGAAAGGGAGAUUAAUCCCGGAUAGUACGGUGAUUCCGCAUGGUUUCUCCAUUAAAGGAUUCCGGUUACCGAUGGGGAUGCGUUCCAUUAGGCAGUUGGUGGGGUAACGGCCCACCAAACCUACGAUGGAUAGGGGUUCUGAGAGGAAGGUCCCCCACAUUGGAACUGAGACACGGUCCAA
RNAcentral lists this ribosomal RNA (310 nucleotides) under uncultured bacterium. RNAcentral's name for it is "bacterial SSU rRNA". It matches the Rfam family "Bacterial small subunit ribosomal RNA", at positions 28 to 334 of the family's 1533-position model. The record is from RNAcentral.